This 582-nucleotide ribosomal RNA is filed under the name Micrococcus sp. UA-AR0322. Its description in RNAcentral is "bacterial SSU rRNA". It matches the Rfam family "Bacterial small subunit ribosomal RNA", at positions 53 to 648 of the family's 1533-position model. Lineage: Bacteria; Bacillati; Actinomycetota; Actinomycetes; Micrococcales; Micrococcaceae. The record is from RNAcentral.
ACAUGCAAGUCGAACGAUGAAGCCCAUCUUGCUGGGCGGAUUAGUGGCGAACGGGUGAGUAACACGUGAGUAACCUGGCCUUGACUCUGGGAUAAGCCCGGGAAACUGGGUCUAAUACCGGAUAGGAGCGCCUGUCGCAUGACGGGUGUUGGAAAGAUUUUUCGGUCAUGGAUGGACUCCCGGCCUAUCAGCUUGUUGGUGAGGUAAUGGCUCACCAAGGCGACGACGGGUAGCCGGCCUGAGAGGGUGACCGGCCACACUGGGACUGAGACACGGCCCACACUCCUACGGGAGGCAGCAGUGGGGAAUAUUGCACAAUGGGCGGAAGCCUGAUGCACCGACCCCGCGUGAGGGAUGACGGCCUUCGGGUUGUAAACCUCUUUCAGCAGGAAAGAAGCGAAAGUGACGGUACCUGCAAAAGAAGCACCGGCUAACUACGUGCCACCAGCCGCGGUAAUACGUAGGGUGCGAGCGUUAUCCGGAAUUAUUGGGCGUAAAUAGCUCGUAGGCGGUUUGUCCCGUCUGUCGUGAAAGUCCGGGGCUUAACCCCGGAUCUGCGGUGGGUACGGGCAGACUAGAGUG